AGCAGCAGCCACGGUAACACGGAGGGUGCAAGCGUUAAUCGGAAUUACUGGGCGUAAAGCGCACGCAGGCGGUCUGUCAAGUCAGAUGUGAAAUCCCCGGGCUUAACCUGGGAAUGGCAGUGGAUACUGGCUCGCUAGAGUGUGUCAGAGGAUGGUGGAAUUCCCGGUGUAGCGGUGAAAUGCGUAGAGAUCGGGAGGAACAUCAGUGGCGAAGGCGGCCAUCUGGGACAACACUGACGCUGAGGCACGAAAGCGUGGGGAGCAAACAGGAUUAGAUACCCCAGUAGUCCAUGUCUCUUAUAC
RNAcentral lists this ribosomal RNA (303 nucleotides) under uncultured bacterium. Its description in RNAcentral is "partial 16S ribosomal RNA". It matches the Rfam family "Bacterial small subunit ribosomal RNA", at positions 507 to 807 of the family's 1533-position model. The record is from RNAcentral.